ACAGUUGAUUUGCACAUUAUAACUUAUUUAUUUUUUAAAUAUGUUUUAAAGACUGUUUAUAUUCAUCGUAUUGGGCCUAAAAGUUGUUCAAAUGGAUCAAAAAAAAAUUUAUAAAUAGUUGUCAAAACAACGCUUUUACCCUAUCGAUCUUCAUCGUCAUCGCAGCCGCACUAUUCUUCUACAUUUACACCAUUACCUACAAGUGAAUAUAAAUUUUAUAUGCAAGCAUUGUGGUAUAUGUGAUAUAUAUUACCGAUUUCUCAUUCAUAUUUUAUUUUAGAGUAAACCUCAGAGUUGUGGCCAAAAUUUACACAGAUUUUCAAAAAGUUGGCCAAAGUUCCAAAUUCUCAUAAAGGUGGCCGAACUUUGGCUCUGGUUUUUAAAAGUGUGGCUCUCGUUAAAUGUCAUUAACGGGAGCAACAGACAGAGGGUAAAAAUGGGUUUUUCGACACCCAUAUCAAUAAUUCCCAUACAAAUAAUAAAACCACAUCAAUUUCACUCAACCUGAACAUAUAAUAAGAACCCUAUCAACAGUGCAUCUGACCUGUGUGUAUGUAUAUGUGUUUGUGUUGUGUGCGGAGUAUUCGGAGGAGAAGGGUUGGUAGUGACUGGCGGCGGUAUUAGGAGAGAGAAGGCGGCCACGAUUGAAAUAUCCUUUAAAAAAUUCCAAUUAUAUCAGUUAACAUUAAAAUUUUAAUGGCACUUUAACGGGACCCAUACUUUUAAAACAUGGAGACAAAAUUUCGUCACCUUUCUGAGAAUUUGGAACUCUGGCCAACUUUUUAAAAAUCGGUGUAAACUUUGGCCACAACUUUGAAAUUUACUGUUUAUUUUAUGCGUCAGAAAUGAUUUGAAUUGGAGUUCGGUCAGUCAUUGCCGAUUUGUGGCAUACUAGACUACAUAAGAAUGAUAACAUGAAUCGAUGGUUACAUGUUUUGUUCUUCUUGAAUAUUUAUAUCAUGGUUUUGUUGAAUAACGAGAUGUUUUAAUUUCAAUUUAGCAUUCAAUAAUUAAAUCGAAAGUUAAGCCCACUUGAAGGUCUGGUGCUAAUAUUUAUUAUAAUUUUUUUAUUUUUUUUGUUUAUAAGACUUU
RNAcentral lists this long non-coding RNA (1092 nucleotides) under Daucus carota (carrot). RNAcentral's name for it is "long non-coding RNA (DCAR_LNC005733)". The record is from RNAcentral. Lineage: Eukaryota; Viridiplantae; Streptophyta; Magnoliopsida; Apiales; Apiaceae.